ACUGCUAGAGACUGAAACUGUGGAAAGCAAAACCAUGGACAAGGAGGAUCUACUGCAUUGGCAGAGCAGCCACAUAGGACAGUGGACCAUGUCCUUUACCUUGAUACGAUUUUAAUCAUAGAUACAGGAAUGGGUUUCCCUUAUUGUAAAACUGCAACGCAGGGGAAGCAAGUCUGUGAAGGACUUAGAUAUAGCUUACAGAUGUUGAAGGAUAAAGUGAAGGGAAGUGAGCUGCUGGUUUUCUUUGGUCUUUUAUCAAUGUUUUGGACAGGAACCUUCUUUGGAAACAAACCUACUACGGUCCAGGUCCAGCUGGCGCACAACGUACUGUCUGUUCAGGAGAAAAUGAUGUGUAAAUCAGGGAAGAAUAAAGAAUGGAAGUAUUUGGGGGAAAACAUUAGACAUCUUUGAAAAGAUCCACCAUUCUGGGCCAGCAAAGAGAAGCCAAAGGUUAAGUUAAGGAUGCAGUUACUAUACAGCUACUUUGAGCUUCUCCUAAUA
Molecule: long non-coding RNA, 501 nt
Organism: Lontra canadensis (Northern American river otter)
Lineage: Eukaryota; Metazoa; Chordata; Mammalia; Carnivora; Mustelidae
Exons: 3
Source: RefSeq, a predicted model, not a curated record